AGCCCAGAGCCUGAAUCAGUGUGUGUGUUAGUGGAAGCGUCUGGAAAGGCGCGCGAUACAGGGUGACAGCCCCGUACACAAAAAUGCACAUACUGUGAGCUCGAUGAGUAGGGCGGGACACGUGGUAUCCUGUCUGAAUAUGGGGGGACCAUCCUCCAAGGCUAAAUACUCCUGACUGACCGAUAGUGAACCAGUACCGUGAGGGAA
RNAcentral lists this ribosomal RNA (207 nucleotides) under Escherichia coli. RNAcentral describes it as "partial 23S ribosomal RNA". It matches the Rfam family "Bacterial large subunit ribosomal RNA", at positions 296 to 511 of the family's 2925-position model. Lineage: Bacteria; Pseudomonadati; Pseudomonadota; Gammaproteobacteria; Enterobacterales; Enterobacteriaceae. The record is from RNAcentral.